RNAcentral lists this ribosomal RNA (139 nucleotides) under Streptomyces malaysiensis subsp. malaysiensis. RNAcentral describes it as "partial 16S ribosomal RNA". It matches the Rfam family "Bacterial small subunit ribosomal RNA", at positions 1 to 138 of the family's 1533-position model. The record is from RNAcentral. Lineage: Bacteria; Bacillati; Actinomycetota; Actinomycetes; Kitasatosporales; Streptomycetaceae.
CAUUCACGGAGAGUUUGAUCCUGGCUCAGGACGAACGCUGGCGGCGUGCUUAACACAUGCAAGUCGAACGAUGAACCGGUUUCGGCCGGGGAUUAGUGGCGAACGGGUGAGUAACACGUGGGCAAUCUGCCCUGCACUC